RNAcentral lists this ribosomal RNA (1407 nucleotides) under Salmonella enterica subsp. enterica serovar Typhi. Its description in RNAcentral is "bacterial SSU rRNA". It matches the Rfam family "Bacterial small subunit ribosomal RNA". The record is from RNAcentral. Lineage: Bacteria; Pseudomonadati; Pseudomonadota; Gammaproteobacteria; Enterobacterales; Enterobacteriaceae.
UGCAGUCGACGGUAACAGGAAGCAGCUUGCUGCUUUGCUGACGAGUGGCGGACGGGUGAGUAAUGUCUGGGAAACUGCCUGAUGGAGGGGGAUAACUACUGGAAACGGUGGCUAAUACCGCAUAACGUCGCAAGACCAAAGAGGGGGACCUUCGGGCCUCUUGCCAUCAGAUGUGCCCAGAUGGGAUUAGCUUGUUGGUGAGGUAACGGCUCACCAAGGCGACGAUCCCUAGCUGGUCUGAGAGGAUGACCAGCCACACUGGAACUGAGACACGGUCCAGACUCCUACGGGAGGCAGCAGUGGGGAAUAUUGCACAAUGGGCGCAAGCCUGAUGCAGCCAUGCCGCGUGUAUGAAGAAGGCCUUCGGGUUGUAAAGUACUUUCAGCGGGGAGGAAGGUGUUGUGGUUAAUAACCGCAGCAAUUGACGUUACCCGCAGAAGAAGCACCGGCUAACUCCGUGCCAGCAGCCGCGGUAAUACGGAGGGUGCAAGCGUUAAUCGGAAUUACUGGGCGUAAAGCGCACGCAGGCGGUCUGUCAAGUCGGAUGUGAAAUCCCCGGGCUCAACCUGGGAACUGCAUUCGAAACUGGCAGGCUUGAGUCUUGUAGAGGGGGGUAGAAUUCCAGGUGUAACGGUGAAAUGCGUAGAGAUCUGGAGGAAUACCGGUGGCGAAGGCGGCCCCCUGGACAAAGACUGACGCUCAGGUGCGAAAGCGUGGGGAGCAAACAGGAUUAGAUACCCUGGUAGUCCACGCCGUAAACGAUGUCUACUUGGAGGUUGUGCCCUUGAGGCGUGGCUUCCGGAGCUAACGCGUUAAGUAGACCGCCUGGGGAGUACGGCCGCAAGGUUAAAACUCAAAUGAAUUGACGGGGGCCCGCACAAGCGGUGGAGCAUGUGGUUUAAUUCGAUGCAACGCGAAGAACCUUACCUGGUCUUGACAUCCACAGAACUUUCCAGAGAUGGAUUGGUGCCUUCGGGAACUGUGAGACAGGUGCUGCAUGGCUGUCGUCAGCUCGUGUUGUGAAAUGUUGGGUUAAGUCCCGCAACGAGCGCAACCCUUAUCCUUUGUUGCCAGCGGUCCGGCCGGGAACUCAAAGGAGACUGCCAGUGAUAAACUGGAGGAAGGUGGGGAUGACGUCAAGUCAUCAUGGCCCUUACGACCAGGGCUACACACGUGCUACAAUGGCGCAUACAAAGAGAAGCGACCUCGCGAGAGCAAGCGGACCUCAUAAAGUGCGUCGUAGUCCGGAUUGGAGUCUGCAACUCGACUCCAUGAAGUCGGAAUCGCUAGUAAUCGUGGAUCAGAAUGCCACGGUGAAUACGUUCCCGGGCCUUGUACACACCGCCCGUCACACCAUGGGAGUGGGUUGCAAAAGAAGUAGUGUAGCUUAACCUUCGGGAGGGCGCU